Sander lucioperca (pikeperch) is the source of this 495-nucleotide long non-coding RNA. RefSeq lists it as uncharacterized. The transcript has 4 exons. NCBI's taxonomy places the organism in Eukaryota, Metazoa, Chordata, Actinopteri, Perciformes, Percidae. The record is from RefSeq and is a predicted model, not a curated record.
UUAUCCUGCGCCAUGAAUAGUGGAACAGGACGUUCAGAAAACGAGUGCAUGCUUUUAGUUAAAGUAAAACGGCGCAGACUUACCUGUUUUGAAGAAUCCAUCUUGAGAUAGUGACCAAAGAGCAGACACAGACCUGCCAGGCCGGUUCACGGUGGCUGCGGACGUUUGAAAUUCAGAUCAUCUGUUCUGUGUCAACAGAGGGCAAGAGGUGCAUGGACGGCAUCCUUGGUGGUUCCAAUUUCCAGCCCAUUCCCCAAUUUUCAACCCCAAUGACAGACAACACACGCUUCAAUGGCUGUUCAGCUAAAGGAGGGAAUUGAAGCGGACCGUAAAAUGAUGGACUGCUGGUUUCCUGUGGUGUUGAUGCAAGCUGGCACGCACAGUUAUGGUUUAACAUACACUUCAUAAUGUAUUGAUACAUAUAUAUUAUCACAUUUACAUUGUUUGGGAAUUUGGUAUAUAGAAGGAAAAUAAAACAUUCCAACCUUGAUCAAA